Long non-coding RNA from Oryza sativa Japonica Group (Japanese rice), 885 nucleotides. RefSeq lists it as uncharacterized. The record is from RefSeq and is a predicted model, not a curated record. NCBI's taxonomy places the organism in Eukaryota, Viridiplantae, Streptophyta, Magnoliopsida, Poales, Poaceae.
CUCCUAUUUACUCAUUGUGAUCAUGUCACCGUUUUCUGUUCCAGAUCUCCUCCAGCUCCAUGGCUAGUUCUUUCUGCCUUCUGACAACAAUGGUGACAUGAUCCUUGCCGUCGACAACCUUAACACGGGCACGAGAUGGUGACAUCGCAGGUGAGCUGAUCCCUGACGAUCUCAAGGCAUUUGUCGAUCUUGCCGGCGCUGCCACAGAUGAUGUUGUGAAGGGUAUGCCAUGAAGCGAUGUGAGUGUGGCAGAAGAAACCAUCCAUCAGCAACCACAUGAAUUCCAUCCGAAAAUCUGGCGUGACGCUGGAACAGCAGGUCGUGCGCAUGUCGCUUCACCCAAGUACCACUGCUACUGUUGAGCCCCCAAUUGUUGACCGGAGUCAAGCACAGUUCACAAGUCUCGUAGUAGUAGUAUUAACUCCUAGCUAUGGAUGGCAUCAGCAUGCAGGCUGCUUUGCUCGCAGCGAACGCAGAUGGACCCGACCGGCAUCAGUAAAUACCACUCGAAUCCUGCAUCGCCUCGACGGGAAAUCAUCCCAUUCAAUUCAUGUAUUGAAAUUGCUUUUUCAUUUCAAUUUCAUUGGUGUUUACCAACUGCUUAUGCAGCUAGAUAGCUAGCAGCCCAGUGGAAAUGGGAAAACAGCCAGUCCCCAAAUCCGCUGGCAGAUAUAAAAUCUGUUCGUUGAGCUGAGCCGGUUGCUUACCUAAUUUCACCAAAAAAUAUUUGACGCUAAUUUGUGCUGUUAUGACUUCUGCAGGCAUUAGUCUGCUGAUGUUGGUCUUAAUUUGCAGAUCAAAUUAUCUAAAAAUCAGUACUAAUUAAAUACUGGGAUUAGCAAAACCAGGGGAUUUUUUAGGUGGGGGUUUAGGAUUUACCUGUAC